Molecule: ribosomal RNA, 398 nt
Filed under: uncultured bacterium
Lineage: Bacteria
Description: bacterial SSU rRNA
Rfam family: Bacterial small subunit ribosomal RNA
Source: RNAcentral
GGUGCGUAACACGUAGCUGACCUACCCCUCAGCGGGGGAUAACACGACGAAAGUUGUGCUAAUACCGCAGUAGCCAUUCGUGGGGAUUAGAAGCCCAUGAAGAAACUUUCGGGGCGGAGGGUGGGAGCUGCGGCCCAUCAGGUAGUUGGUGAGGUAGUGGCUCACCAAGCCAACGACGGGUCGGGGGCCUGAGAGGGUGACCCCCCACACUGGGACUGACACACGGCCAGACUCCUACGGGAGGCAGCAGUAAGGGAUAUUGCGCAAUGGGCGAAAGCCUGACGCAGCAACGCCGCGUGGAGGAUGAAGGUUUUCGGAUCGUAAACUCCUUUGGAGAGGGACGAGGAAGGACGGUACCUCUCGAACAAGUCACGGUAACUACGUGCCAGCCGCCGCGG